AUUGAACGCUGGCGGCAGGCCUAACACAUGCAAGUCGAACGGUAACAGGAAGAAGCUUGCUUCUUUGCUGACGAGUGGCGGACGGGUGAGUAAUGUCUGGGAAACUGCCUGAUGGAGGGGGAUAACUACUGGAAACGGUAGCUAAUACCGCAUAACGUCGCAAGACCAAAGAGGGGGACCUUCGGGCCUCUUGCCAUCGGAUGUGCCCAGAUGGGAUUAGCUAGUAGGUGGGGUAACGGCUCACCUAGGCGACGAUCCCUAGCUGGUCUGAGAGGAUGACCAGCCACACUGGAACUGAGACACGGUCCAGACUCCUACGGGAGGCAGCAGUGGGGAAUAUUGCACAAUGGGCGCAAGCCUGAUGCAGCCAUGCCGCGUGUAUGAAGAAGGCCUUCGGGUUGUAAAGUACUUUCAGCGGGGAGGAAGGGAGUAAAAGGUUUAAAUAACCUUUGCUCAUUGACGUUACCCGCAGAAGAGCACCGGCU
Molecule: ribosomal RNA, 485 nt
Filed under: uncultured bacterium
Lineage: Bacteria
Description: bacterial SSU rRNA
Rfam family: Bacterial small subunit ribosomal RNA
Source: RNAcentral